This 554-nucleotide small RNA is filed under the name Pan troglodytes (chimpanzee). RNAcentral's name for it is "retained intron". The record is from RNAcentral. Lineage: Eukaryota; Metazoa; Chordata; Mammalia; Primates; Hominidae.
AUGCUGGGCGCGCGGGCCUGGUUGGGCCGCGUCCUUCUGCUGCCCCGCGCCGGUGCAGGCCUCGCCGCGAGCCGCAGGUGUCCUGGAGUCUGGCCCAGGACCUGGCCCCACAGGAGUCCCAGCAGGGGUAGCUCCUCCCGGGACAAGGACCGAAGUGCGACGGUCAGUAGUUCAGUGCCCAUGCCUGCUGGAGGGAAGGGAAGCCAUCCUUCAUCUACACCCCAGAGGGUCCCCAACCGCCUGAUCCACGAGAAGUCACCAUACCUCCUACAACAUGCCUACAAUCCUGUGGACUGGUGAGCACCUCUCCUGGGGCCCUGCCUGGAAUCGCUGGGGUCCUGGGCCCCUCCCAGACCCCCUGGGCUACUGAGUGAUGCCCCACCCUGCUGGGUCUAGGUACCCCUGGGGACAGGAAGCCUUCGACAAGGCCAGGAAGGAAAACAAGCCGAUUUUCCUCUCAGUCGGGUACUCCACCUGCCACUGGUGCCACAUGAUGGAAGAGGAGUCCUUCCAGAAUGAGGAGAUCGGCCGCCUGCUCAGUGAGGACUUUGUGA